RNAcentral lists this ribosomal RNA (446 nucleotides) under uncultured bacterium. RNAcentral describes it as "partial 16S ribosomal RNA". It matches the Rfam family "Bacterial small subunit ribosomal RNA", at positions 338 to 795 of the family's 1533-position model. The record is from RNAcentral.
CCUACGGGAGGCUGCAGUCGAGAAUCAUUCACAAUGGGGGAAACCCUGAUGGUGCGACGCCGCGUGGGGGAAUGAAGGUCUUCGGAUUGUAAACCCCUGUCAUGUGGGAGCAAAUUAAAAAGAUAGUACCCCAAGAGGAAGAGACGGCUAACUCUGUGCCAGCACCCGCGGUAAUACAGAGGUCUCAAGCGUUGUUCGGAAUCUCUGGGCGUAAAGCGUGCGUAGGGUGUUUCGUAAGUCGUGUGUGAAAGGCGCGGGCUCAACCCGCGGACAGCACCUGAUACUGCGAGACUAGAGUGAGGGAGGGGGAAGCGGAAUGCGCGGUGUAGCAGUGAAAUGCGUAGAUAUCGCGAGGAACACUCGUGGCGAAGGCGGGUUCCUGGACAUUAACUGACGCUGAGGCACGAAGGCCAGGGGAGCGAAAGGGAUUAGAUACCCGAGUAGUC